RNAcentral lists this ribosomal RNA (724 nucleotides) under Actinomycetales bacterium TLI082. Its description in RNAcentral is "bacterial SSU rRNA". It matches the Rfam family "Bacterial small subunit ribosomal RNA", at positions 148 to 884 of the family's 1533-position model. Lineage: Bacteria; Bacillati; Actinomycetota; Actinomycetes; Actinomycetales. The record is from RNAcentral.
CCUUGGAAACGAGGUCUAAUACCGGAUAUGACCUGCUCCUGCAUGGGGGUGGGUGGAAAGCUCCGGCGGUGCAGGAUGAUCCCGCGGCCUAUCAGCUUGUUGGUGGGGUAACGGCCCACCAAGGCGACGACGGGUAGCCGGCCUGAGAGGGCGACCGGCCACACUGGGACUGAGACACGGCCCACACUCCUACGGGAGGCAGCAGUGGGGAAUAUUGCACAAUGGGCGAAAGCCUGAUGCAGCGACGCCGCGUGAGGGAUGACGGCCUUCGGGUUGUAAACCUCUUUCAGCAGGGAAGAAGCGCAAGUGACGGUACCUGCAAAAGAAGCACCGGCUAACUACGUGCCAGCAGCCGCGGUAAUACGUAGGGUGCGAGCGUUGUCCGGAAUUAUUGGGCGUAAAGAGCUCGUAGGCGGCCUGUCGCGUCGGAUGUGAAAGCCCGGGGCUUAACCCCGGGUCUGCAUUCGAUACGGGCAGGCUAGAGUGUGGUAGGGGAGAUCGGAAUUCCUGGUGUAGCGGUGAAAUGCGCAGAUAUCAGGAGGAACACCGGUGGCGAAGGCGGAUCUCUGGGCCAUUACUGACGCUGAGGAGCGAAAGCGUGGGGAGCGAACAGGAUUAGAUACCCUGGUAGUCCACGCCGUAAACGUUGGGAACUAGGUGUUGGCGACAUUCCACGUCGUCGGUGCCGCAGCUAACGCAUUAAGUUCCCCGCCUGGGGAGUACG